AUGCAUGUGGCAUCCACAGCCUCCUUGGGCAACCUGUUCCAAUGCGUCACCACCCUGUUUCAGUGCCUCAAUUAACACUAUUUUAAGAGAAUGCCUACCAGGAAUCAGUCUAUUGCUAACAAAAAAAGAGCAAUGUGUGGCCUCAUUAGAAUCCAAUUGCCAGGAGUCAGUUGUGAGGUUAUUUUUGGCACUGGGGCCAAGUUUGAUUUUCACUUUCUUCUAUGUGUCCUGCUCUUCCUCCUUCAGCAUUCAGUCUUUUCACAGUUGUUGGGCUCAUCUUUGUGACUUGUGCUCCUUGUUACUACAUGUGUUGGUUUUUCGCUUCACAUUCAGAUUAUUAGCAAUAUUGAUGCUCGAGAUAAUUUUUGUGCCAUUUCUGGAGAGACAUGCAAAUCUGAGCUGCUUUCCAUUUAAUAUCAGCUGAAGUUCCCUGCAACGUUGUCAUCUGCAUGGGAACCAGCAGCCCAUCUGCGCCUAACAUCAAUAUCAGAGUAAAAGAGAGUCCCUUCUGCAUGAUAAAUAUGCACUGUGAAAAUCCUCAUCAGAUCUGAAAGUGGGCCUGAUGGGAAAAGUCAUUCUUUCCCUAAAACUAGCAGCAGGUCAAAUCGCAUUUCAGCUGUGAAUAAUGGACAGCAGUGAUUCACCCUGCAGCUAGCCUCAUAAAAGUCCACUCCUUAUUCUCUAAGAUGAAUAGGAGUGAUAUUUUUAUAGACAAGCGUUGUUGUUGGUAGGUCCUUUCUGGGUCAGCUUAUAUCAACACAUGCAACCCCUUCUGGCUGCCUCCCAGCUUCACAAAGACUGGCAGAUCCAUUGUCAGCCCAACCGCAGGGGCUGGAGCGGGGAUCUAGUGAGGAUGUGCUGGACCACACACUCCUUCAGUUGGGUUAAGAAAAUACACUUAAGCCAAACAUCAAAACUUUUCAGCCCUGAGCCAUGCUAUUUAAGGGAAAAACAGCAUACCACGUGCUUGCCAGGGACAGAGAAUCCUAUUGCUCCUAGUGCUAGAUGGGGAGAGGAUCUUCAUGACUUUUGCUGCUCAUCUGCCUAGGGCUGAAAUCAGUGCAAGUUCCCUACUUGGGGUUAUGCCUUCCCUUGAGGUAAUGGUGCUCUUCUGCUUGCAAGAAAUCAACACUAUAUAUAUAUAUAUACACAUUAAUUAUUCCUCUUCUUUUUUUCUACAUAUAUGGCUGCUUCAUCUGCGCUAGUGCAGUAUUUUCCAUUAGGCACUCCUCUGCAGUACAACAAUAAACACUCUUAGAACAACAUGCAUACGAUUAAACUGUUAAACCUGCUCGAAGUAUACAGUUCAUAAAUUGAAAGCGCCUAUGCUCAUACUUUGCUAUUGAUUGCUGAGCUUAUAAAAAUAGAAGAACUUGCCCUUAAGAAACAAGAAUUGUGGUUCUUUAAGCUUUUCUUUGUCAGGCAGCCAAAAAAGACAACUUUACAUGGAAAUGUUGCCAUUUGUUCAUGUCAGAAGUAGUUUGUUCGAUUAGAUGUUUUUUAGCUCUGCUGAUUUAUAUGAAGAAGGUUAAUUUUUUUUUACUGUUUUUCUUCAUGCUGUGCCUUUAAUACGCACUAAGAUAACUGAGCCUAGUAAAAUAUACAGUGUUAUUUGGUAAUGUGUUUAUUGGAUUCCAUUAGAAGACUCUGAGAAAUUAUUUGAGAUUUUUUGCUUCUUCAACUAAAAAUAUCUCCUUUUUUCUUCCUUUUUUUUUUUUUUUUUUUUUUCUUUUUCCCCUGCACAAUCUUGCAAGCUUUUUGUUUUCUGGAAAUGCUUGAAAGAAGAGAUUGUUAGAAACAGACUUGUAGUGGGUUCGUGUUGGUUUUCUUUGCUUGUCUGUUUUUGUUUUGUUGUUCUCUCCUGAGAGUGAAAAGGAGAGGCUGUUAGGGGAAGAAUGUUUAGAAUUAUUCCUGUUUUCCAAAGCUUGCGUCCAUGGUUCUCAAACAUAUCUGGCAUCAGGCAGGACAAUAAGUGCAAGAGGAGCCUAAGCUUCCAGUAACUUGCCUUUUUAAAUGGUCUUAUGGUGGCUUCAGAUCAGUCAUGGUUUUAUGGAUGUGGUUUUAGGGUAGCUUAAACUAGCAAAAAAUUACACAUUUUUCUCAGGCUGGACUGUGGAGCUGUGCUCAGCCUCAGCAGCCUGCAUAAAGCUACACAUGUGCAUGUUUGACUGAACUGGGGCAGUAGUGCUAUGUCAGUGGCCUUGCCACAGACCUAAUGAUUACAGAGCACCGAGGCCAUUCAGCUGGCUUUGGGCUGGAACCACUCCUGUGGUUCAUGGUUACUUCCUAAAGGUUCCUGUAAGUGCUUCAGGACUCGCAGUGUGAUCAGGAGGUGAAGCCUCAGGAAGUGCUGGAGAUCAGGGUGUGCUGGGUGCACUCUGUGGGGUGGCCUCUGGGAGGGACAGUGCAAACCACAAUGACUGGGGGUGGUCUGGAAGCUAACUCCAGUGUAACCAAGGGUGUGGGUUCCUAAUCCAGAGGUAAGCUGCUUCCAGCAGAGGUGGCCUUUCCACAGCCCAUGUGGAUGCUCCUGCCCUCUCCCUUCUGUUGCCUCAGGGUCCCAUUGAGCCACGUACUGACAUGGAUCACGUUGAUCCAGUGCAAAGCAGAAUGUGUUUUGUGCAUUGUAGGUUAGGUUUGUGUCAGACCAUAAUUAUGUAUAUGGCAAUCUGCCCUUGGAGCACCUGUCUGAUGGUGAGAGAAACGUGCUGCUCCUUUUUUUGGUAGCCUUCAGUUAGACUGGAUUAAGUAAAAGGAAACUGGAUUACAGGGAAGCUGAGGUUUGACAAAUUCUGGGGCCUGAACUGGUUUCAUCAGCUCAGAAAGCUGUUGUUAACUCCUCAUAGCUGCCUUUGGUGGGAACUGCACAAAACCUGGAGCUUGCUACAAGCUCUGGUGAGCCAGAUAACAGGCAGAGGAGCCUUUCUUUUAAUGUGGUACCUGUAAGAAAUCAGCCAGCCAAAGGUGGUUUGAUGGGGUUAGCUGAUAGGUUUACAUAUGUCAGUGGUCCAGAACCCAGCAAGGGGUUUGGGUUUCCAGUGAAAUGCCCUUUCCCUGUGCACUUCAUUGCUGGUGACAGCUGCUGGCUGCUCCUGGUGCCUGUACAGUACUCACAUGCCACCACAAGGGAAUAUAAUCAUGGCAUCUUUCUCUCUUCCUAUUGGCACCCGAACAAACAUUCUUACAGCUCUGUACUUGAGCUUUGAUUUUAAACACAGCUUUCGCAUGCUAGGUGUCAAUACUUCCCAGGAUUCUUAUCUCUGCUUCCUGCAGACAGGCUUCUGUUUUGGAAAAGAAAUUAAAAAGCCAUAUAACCUUGCUCUGCAUCAGGUAAAAGCAGUGACUGCACUGGCGGUAGGGAGAGUCAGUCCCACCAGCAUAUGAGAAGACAGGUUGCCUGUCCUCCCCAGGACAGAUUCCCAGCUUCCAGUAAUCUGCCACUUUGGGGCUUCCUGAGCUCAGGAUGGCACCUCUGUGUGCAGAAGCCUGUGGCCAAUCAUGUCAUACGAUGAAGUUGCAGAGGUCUAACAAAAGGUUCUGUGUGACUGCUGAGAGGAGCAUGGCUGGGGGAGGCUUUGGGAGGAGCAGGUGGGAGCUGAGAGUGAAGGACAGGGAGAGGAGAAGAUGCUGUUCUUGGAGUGUGAAGAAUAUCUGGCAGCUGUGGGAAGGAUGGAGAGGAUUUCUAGCCUUUAUCUGUCAUGCAAAAAAAAAUCACAGAAAAAUUAGGGCAUAAAAGCAUGGAUAAAGAGAAGAACAGCAUGAGAGUUCUUUUUCCAGCUUCUGUGUUUCUGCCCCCAUUCUUUCCUCUCUGUGUCCAGUGUUGUUGUGCUUCUUGCUUUAUACACUCACCUGCAGCGCUGCUGUGAACCCACACAUCUUCCUCGCUGGUCUCCUCAGGUGGUACCGAAGCUCGGUGAGGUGCAGCUGUACCAGCCUGUUCUGAGUGCUCUGCUCCAUCCCAGGGCAGCAUCCCACUGGACCAGCUGCCUGGAGGAGGAACGGUGAGGGUAGGAGUGAUGGGACUGCAGCAGGAGCCCCGGCAGAUCUGGACAAAGGAAGCCCUAAAACAGCGAAACUUCAGAUGAGAAAUUCUUGUGUGUGAGUUCUUUUUGUUUGUUUGUUUGUUUGUAACAUUCCCUAUGAGCUCUUUAUCUCUUUUACCUUUGAAUGAACUAAAGAAACCAAAAUCUGAAAGAAACGGCUGCGGCAGAAUGUAGAGCCAAGGCUGGGAAUCCAGGGGGAUGAGAUGGUAAGAAAGAAACCUACAGCAAGUAAUCAAAACCCAAACCCAGCCUCGAGCGGUUAUCAUUAAGUUAUCUUGAGUAAGCUGUGUGUUGUGUGUUUCCUGAAGAGCUUGACCAAAAAUUCAUUGAGACCAUAUCUCUCUCAGUAGGUUAUGGUGAAAAGCCCAACUAAUACUUUAUGCCUCCUUUCUGGUUCAUAGCCAGAAGGAUUUGUUGGUUUGCUUUCACUCAUUCCUUACCCAUGAAAAAAAAGCCAACAAAACAAGAGAACUUAAUGAGUUUUGCAAUUCAUUUUUCAUUUGUUCGGGAGCACUUCCUCCAUCCAAACCAUAGAGAGAUUGUUUCCCAGCAUAGAAAAAUCUGCACUGAUGUGGCUGAGCUUUAGUCACCUCAUUUUCUCUCCUAGGAGCAUUCUGAAUUUCUGCAGGGCAAUGAGUUUGCUGGUGGUAGCACCAAACUUGACUUAUUUAUGUUGAAUGGCAAAACAACAACAAAAACUUUCCCAAACUGUAAAAUAUCACUGAAAAGAAAGCAAGCAUAAUUGUCUUCAACCAUUAUGGCUGCCCUAAUUUGAAUCACAUGGGAAAGGGCUUUGUUAAUGGCUUUGUUCUUUUACUCCUCACUGGCAAUAAAACAAAACAAAACGCCCCA
This is a non-coding RNA of Coturnix japonica (Japanese quail), 4895 nucleotides long. The record is from RefSeq and is a predicted model, not a curated record. NCBI's taxonomy places the organism in Eukaryota, Metazoa, Chordata, Aves, Galliformes, Phasianidae.